GCAUUGCUUUGUCUCUCUUCUCCCUGCACCUACCUCUCCCAGAAAUGCUGUCAGGUUGGUCUACACAUUCCAUAAAUGGGCAUGAUCUCCUAGAAAAAUGGCAUUUUGUACAAUUACACAGCAUACCAUAAAGCAAUUCAGUCUCAUCUCCCAAAUAGACAAGGAGUUGGGUGAAGUAUGAAACCUUUCUUCUUCAGAUAACUGGAAAAAUAAAAUAACUGGACAUUAAAAAGAACAGAACUGGAAAAAGUAGGAAAAUUAAAGUAAAAAUAGUCAAUAAAGAACAUUUUUGCUGUGUGCAACAGCAACCUUCUCUUUACAAAGAAAGUGUUAUUGUUAUCACGGCAAACUCAACUCUAAAAGGAGUAAGUGAUCACGUUAAGUGUUGACUCAGUUGAAGGGGAAUUCUUGUAAAAUGGCCUUUGUGAAACAGUCAGUGAACUGCUAGAUGAACUUGCAACAAACUAAAGUGUGCCUAUGGAGAUUCUCAGUCAUUCUGGUCAUGGUUGUCCCAAAAGUGCUUAUUCAAAAGGCAACUGGACUUCGUUUUUCCUUGAAGAUGUUUAAGCUUCUCAUUCAAGAAACUUCUUCAGUUGGAGAAUGGAAGGAUUGUGCUAUCCCAAAUGGAAUGGAACACUUAGGGAACAUAAUAUGCAAAUAUCCACAUCUGAAAUAUAGCAG
This is a long non-coding RNA of Ahaetulla prasina, 681 nucleotides long. RefSeq lists it as uncharacterized. The transcript is spliced from 3 exons. Lineage: Eukaryota; Metazoa; Chordata; Lepidosauria; Squamata; Colubridae. The record is from RefSeq and is a predicted model, not a curated record.